RNAcentral lists this non-coding RNA (225 nucleotides) under Geobacillus sp. Its description in RNAcentral is "T-box sequence". It matches the Rfam family "T-box leader". Rfam says of the family: Uncharged tRNA acts as the effector for transcription antitermination of genes in the T-box leader family. T-boxes are found upstream of many aminoacyl-tRNA synthetase genes and some amino acid biosynthetic genes usually in Gram-positive bacteria. The record is from RNAcentral. Lineage: Bacteria; Bacillati; Bacillota; Bacilli; Caryophanales; Anoxybacillaceae.
CAUAACGCGAUGACGGAUCGAGUAUGUUACAGUCCAUCUUAAAGCGCGGGUUCGCGCACAGAGAGGAAUUUCCGUGGCUGAAAGAAAUUCCAGAUGAAGGGUAACAGAACGCUAAUCCGGAGCGCAGGCAAAACCUGACGUAUCGCCACGUUACGGCGUUAGAGGGAUGAACGGCUUGCCGUUCAUAAGCAGGGUGGUACCGCGAGCAUAACUCUCGUCCCUGAA